AUUAAGUGAAAACUAGCUCAAUAUUCAUUACACCUUAUUUAAUAAAAGUGUUGUGGUAAUUUGAAAGUAAUUGGACUCAUAUUGUUCGUUUGCCAGCUAAAUUUCAAAAAUAAAAGUUGCUGCAAAUAGAAAUGCAGCUCAUCUUCAUAACCGCAUAAUUGAAAUAACGCUACAGUGCGCUAAUGUAUGAGAAUGUAUCUAUACUUCGGUGUAAGAAAUAUUGUCUAUGACGUAAUUUCCGUGUGACGUACGUGCCCGUUGUAAUUAUAUUUAAUGGGAGUAUAACCGUGUACUAAACAUAAUAAAAUAUGACUCUUGGAGAGAAGAUUAAACAUAAUGGAAAUAUGUCAACUUUAGCAACGAAGAAUUCCAAUCAAAUAAUAUCACAACAAAAUAACGAGCAUUUGUCUGUAAAGGAGAAAACAAGUGGAGACGCUGGAAAUAAUGCAAAUACUAUGCAGGCUGAUGUAACGAUAUCAUUUUUACGUUCUGCUCGUAGCGGUGAUUUAGAGAAAGUCUUGGAAUUUCUUGAAACUGGUCAAAUAGUUGACAUUAAUUCGAGCAAUGCGAAUGGGUUAAAUGCUUUACACUUAGCGGCAAAAGAUGGAUACAUCGAUAUAGUUACUGAACUACUUCGACGAGGUAUCAAAGUGGAUAAUGCUACCAAAAAAGGCAAUACUGCAUUACACAUAGCAUCAUUAGCUGGUCAAAAGGAUGUAAUAAAAUUGCUUCUAAGUUACAACGCGAAUGUUAAUGUACAAUCUUUAAAUGGUUUUACACCGCUAUAUAUGGCUGCUCAAGAAAAUCAUGAUGCAUGUGUACGUUUUUUGCUGACUAAAGGUGCAAAUCCUUCACUAGCUACAGAAGACGGCUUCACUCCACUUGCAGUAGCGAUGCAACAAGGCCAUGACAAAGUUGUUGCUGUACUUCUUGAAAGCGAUGUUCGAGGUAAAGUGCGAUUGCCCGCAUUGCAUAUAGCCGCUAAAAAGAACGAUGUUAGUGCUGCAAAUUUGUUGUUACAAAAUGAACAAUAUCCUGAUAUAAUAUCUAAAUCCGGUUUCACCCCGUUACAUAUUGCAGCGCACUACGGCAACCUGGAUAUUGCUAAUCUAUUAAUAGAACGUGGGGCUAACGUCAAUUUUACUGCUAAACAUAAUAUUACACCUAUUCAUGUUGCUUGUAAGUGGGGAAAAACAAAUAUUCUUCAAUUAUUGCUUUCAAAAAAUGCGCAAAUUAAUGCAAAAACAAGGGAUGGUCUAACGCCCUUGCACUGCGCAUCCAGAUCUGGACAUGUGGAUGUGAUCGAAACUCUUUUAAAUAAUAACGCCCCGAUAUUGUCCAAAACUAAAAAUGGACUAAAUCCGCUUCAUAUGGCAGCACAAGGUGAACAUGAUGAAGCGGCUAGGAUAUUAUUAGCGCAUAAAGCUCCAGUAGACGAAGUAACAGUGGACUAUUUAACUGCGUUGCAUGUAGCUGCACACUGCGGCCAUGUACGUGUAGCACGUUUAUUAUUACAGUACAAAGCAGAUCCUAAUGCACGUGCUUUAAAUGGCUUUACACCUCUCCAUAUAGCCUGCAAGAAAAACCGUAUUAAAGUUGUGGAAUUAUUGCUCAAACAUAAUGCAAAUAUUAGUGCUACAACUGAAUCUGGUUUGACAUGCUUACAUGUUGCCAGCUUUAUGGGUUGUAUGAAUAUAGUAAUCUAUUUGCUUCAGCAUGAUGCAAAUCCAGAUGCAACAACUGUGCGUGGGGAAACACCUCUGCAUUUAGCCGCACGUGCCAAUCAAACCGACAUUAUUCGAAUAUUGCUACGCAAUGGUGCGCAAAUUGAAGUAUAUGCACGCGAGGGACAAACACCUUUGCAUGUAGCAUCGCGACUAGGAAAUAUCGACAUUAUUAUGCUAAUGUUGCAACAUGGGGCCAAUGUUAAUGCUACUACGAAAGACAUAUACUCUCCACUGCAUAUUGCUGCAAAGGAGGGUCAAGAAGAUGUAGCACAGAUUCUAAUUGAAAACAAUGCACAUCUGAAUGCUAUAACGAAGAAGGGUUUCACACCUUUACAUUUAGCAGCUAAAUAUGGCAAAGAUAAACUGGCUGCAUUGCUAAUCUCCCAUGGUGCUGACAUUAAUUGUCAAGGUAAAAAUUCGAUAACACCUUUACAUGUCGCUUGCCAUUAUAAUCACCAAAAUGUAGUACAAUUACUACUUGACAAAGGUGCCUCCCCACAUUUAUGUGCCAAAAAUGGACAUAGUGCAUUGCACAUUGCAGCUAAAAAAAAUCAAAUCGAAAACGCUGAAUUGUUACUACAAUACGGAGCUGAACCAGAUGUACGCAGUAAAGCAGGUUUUUCGCCUCUUCAUCUAGCUACUCAAGAAGGUCAUAUUGAAAUAAUAAAAUUGUUAUUAGAACAUAAGGUAGAUCCUAAUGGAAUAUCUAAAAAUGGGCUCACCCCACUUCAUUUAUGCGCUCAAGAAGAUCACGCAGAAGUAGCAAGGGUAUUACUUGAUCAUCAAGCUCGCAUAUCAGAUAAAACUAAGUCUGGUUAUACACCACUACAUUUAGCGGCACACUAUGGCCAAAUUAACAUGGUUAAAUUCUUAUUAGAAAACGAUGCCAACGUAGAAAUGAUUACCAAUGUUGGAUAUACUCCUCUCCAUCAAGCUGCUCAGCAAGGUCAUACGAUGGUUAUUAACUUAUUGUUACGACAUAAGGCGAACCCCAAUGCUGUCACUACAAAUGGUCACACCGCAUUAAGCAUCGCCAAUAGUCUCGGUUAUGUGACAGCAGUGGAAACUUUAAAAGUUGUUACGGAAAAAACGAUUGAAAACACAAUAGUUGGCGUCUUAGAAGAAAAAUACAAAGUGGUUGGCCCAGAGUUAAUGCAUGAAACCUUCAUAUCUGACUCAGAAGAAGAGGGUGACGACGAACAUUUGGAUCAUCAGCAAUACAAAUAUAUGGCAACAGAUGAUUUAAAAACGACGAUCGAAGGAGAUCAUAAAAACUACGAUAAUAUGGACAAUGAAGAGCAAUCAGAUGAAAAAGCUUCAAAAAGCAAUUUAGAAGUGGAUGCAGUUAAAAUGAAUGUUACUAACGUUGACCUUUCAAAUCAAGUGGAUAAUGUUUCAAUUACUCGACCACCUUUGCAUUUGGGGUUUCUGGUAUCAUUUUUAGUAGAUGCUCGUGGUGGUUCGAUGAAGCAAUGUACCAUUCACAGACAUAGUGGUGUACGUAUUAUUGUACCUCCAAAAUCAUGUGCCCAACCUACAAGAAUAACUUGUCGUUACGUUAAACCAUUACGUGUCCAUAACCCCCCACCACUUAUGGAAGGAGAAGCUUUGGUUAGUCGUAUAAUCGAACUAUCGCCAGUGGAAGCAAAGUUCUUAGGACCUGUUAUAUUAGAAAUUCCACAUUUUGGUGCGUUAUGCGAUAAGGAACGUGAAAUAAUUGUACUCCGUUCUGAUAAUGGUGACAGUUGGCGAGAACACACUUUAUAUGAAAAUGGAGAAGACAUCGAGAUUCAUAAAAAAUUUAAUAAUGAAAUAAGUGGUAUAAACGAUUUGCAUUCUCAUCGUGUUAUUCGUAUAGUAACACAUAGCUUCCCACAUUUCUUUGCUGUAUUAUCUCGUAUAAGGCAAGAAGUACAUGCUAUUGGCCCUGAUGGUGGCACUGUAUCUUCAUUAGCUGUUCCGGAAGUUCAGGCAAUUUUUCCAUCAAAUGCACUAACAAAAAAAAUUCGUGUCGGUCUUCAGGCACAACCAGUUGACCUAAAUGGUUGCUGCAAAAUGCUAGGCCAAGGGGUUGCUGUAUCUCCAGUAGUUACAGUUGAACCGCGUCGUCGUAAGUUUCAUAAACCUAUAACUCUUAGCAUCCCGGCACCGAAAGCUUACACACAAGGCAUGGUAAAUUCACCAUAUACAAAUAAUGCACCCACAUUACGCUUAUUAUGUUCUAUUACUGGAGGGCAAAAUCGAGCCGUUUGGGAAGAUGUCACUGGGUCUACUCCACUGACAUUUGUUAAAGACAGCAUUACAUUCACAACAACCGUGUCCGCACGCUUUUGGUUGAUGGAUUGCCGUAAUAUUUCAGAUGCAAGUCGAAUGGCAACCGAUUUAUAUUCCUAUAUGACUCGUGUACCAUUUAUGGUUAAAUUUGUAGUUUUCGUAAAACGCAUUUCGGCUACAGAGGCAAAGUUAUCAGUAUUUUGCAUGACUGAUGAUAAAGAAGAAAAAACUUUGGAACAGCAGGAGUACUUUAGCGAAGCAGCUAACAGUCGAGAAGUUGAAGUUCUCGAAGAUCAAGAUAUUUACUUGGAGUUUGCUGGUAAUUUAGUACCAGUUCAUAAAUCGGACGAACAACUACAUCUGAAAUUUCGUGCUUUUCGAGAAAAUCGUCUGUCAUUUUUAGUACAUAUAAAAGAUCCAGAUGAGCAACCAUUUUCACGCAUUUGCUUUAUGAAUGCGGCAAAAGUAAAUCAAAAUUCAUCGACUCAAAAACCAAUUUGUAUUUUGAACAUUUCACUUGAAGGGCAAGGUAUCAUCAAGCAGAAGUAUGGUAUUGAAAGCCUUCACAACUCCAUUAAUAGUUUGAAACAUAAUUCCAGUGAUAUAGUUAUGCUGGAACACACGAAUCUUCCAAUAAAUUCAGUAAAUGAAACCACUACUACUAAUGAUAUACAAAAAGCAGUUAUUAGUAUCUCAGAAAUAUGCAAUUUAUUGGAGAGCGACUGGUUUAGUCUAGCCAAACAAUUGGGUGUAUCCGAGACCGAUAUCGAUUUAAUAAAUAACGAAUAUUCAAAUCGCCAAAACGAAAAGCCUUUCGUUAUGCUGCGUCUUUGGCUACGCCAACAAGGAAAACAUGCCAAUGGUAAUACACUGGAGCAAGCCUUACGUCAAAUUGGGCGAAGCGAUAUAGUCGAUAAGUGCAUUUGCAAUUUUGAAUCUGUAACAAAUGAUACAGAGCGCAAUUUAGCUGAAAUAAGGAUAAAUGAUAAUGAUUUAAAUUUCACCGAAUAUACAAACAACAGUAUUGAAUCAAAAAACUUUCAAAUUUCCAACUCUUCAUUAGCUUCAUCGUCGUUAAUAAAUACGCCUUUUGUUAAUAACGAAGAAACACAGGAAAAUAAUAUUGAAAGUUACGAAGAAAAGUGCGACAUUGGAUCAGAAAUUUUUAAUAAGUUAAAAACAGAAACUCCAGUAGUUCAAGUAGAAACUCUCCAACUUCAAAACGAAAUAAGCACACCUACUAAAUCCAUAGAUGAGCAGCAAAACCAGUACGACAUCGAUGUGAUACGCACUAUUGCAGAGGAACAUACUCGACAGGUUUUGCAAGAAGCACAACAAAAUAUCGAGAAAGGCAGUUUACCAGAAAACUACUUUUAAGUGUAAUUGUUGUUCCCUUCGUAGUUACUUUAAUUAAAAUCUUUAGUUUUGAGGGUUUCAGAGAUUACUUUGCUGAAUUGAAAUCAAUAAAAAUAUUUGUCGUAAUAGAUAAUGGACCGGCGUUUGAGUUUAGAAUGUGCUGAAAAGGCACAAAAAGUUUUCCUCAAAACUUGGGAUAGUGAACAUGAUGUUAUAGAUACAUUUGUCAAAACAACUUUCCGAAUCAUCUAUUAAGAACAUUAUUCAAUAUGUCAGUGGGUUUGUUGAAACGAUUAAUAUCUCCAAUCUUCUAAAUUCAUCGCUGCCAGAGAGUAUAAAACAAAAAUGAUUACAGAACCCGAUAAA
Molecule: RNA transcript, 5723 nt
Organism: Teleopsis dalmanni
Lineage: Eukaryota; Metazoa; Arthropoda; Insecta; Diptera; Diopsidae
Gene name: ankyrin-3
Exons: 12
Source: RefSeq, a predicted model, not a curated record